AGCAGACCUGAAGAACUGUCCUUGUCCCCAUUUGAAGAAACUGAAAACUGUCCUCAUCAAGCGCAGCAUGCGCAACUCCAGCAUUCUGGAGGUGAAGACAGGGGGACGGCCUCUCAAGCUGAUGCAAGUCAGCUCACCUAGCGUGUCCAGCGGCACUGCAAGCCAAACCACCCCACCCUGAGACGGCGCAGUAGUGAGCUGCAGGACAUCAGGAAGAGAGUGAGCGGAGGUGAGCAACGAGGUCAAGACUGCAGGGAAGGAAGAUCGGGAUAAGUUGAUGCUUCCAGGUUACGUUUUCAGUCAGCCGAAGUUUAGGUAUCCAGUCUGUUCUCAUGAUUCCCAGGAACAAGCUGCGGAUCAUAAAAAGAAGAUGCGGGCUGAAGCUAACUCUCUCAUAGGAAUAGAUAAUCUUAAGUGUCAGCUUGUUCCCUUCACAUUUCCAGUCAAGCAUGGCCGGCACACUGUGAAAAUUAAGAAUGUUCCCAUGUGUUAUACACCACAUCUCUGGGAGAAGAUCCAACACAUUCUUAAUUCCAAUGAUGACGAUGAGAGAAGAGUGCACCGGCUUACUUGGCAUGAAGGGAAGAUACCUGCUGACGAGAUCUGGGUCAAGUUCUGGGUCAAGUUGGGUGGAGAUAAGCAUCCUAAUUCCCCUGUUAAUAUCUGAGGCUCCCGACAACGUUACCAACCUGAAGAUCGCACUACAGAGGUUCGAAGAUGAGGUGGACAGCCUACAGAGCAAGACAUGGAGGUACUAAGCAGAAUAUUAAAAACUGAAUGUUUUAUAAUUGUAACAAUCCAAGUAUUCCUUAGCGGGGAUUGUGAGUUCCUGUGUAACAUAUAUGGGCUGUCAGGUGCUUCAGGUUGGCACUGUUGCUUGUGGUGCUUGACACUUGUGGUGCUUGACAACAUCAGAACAGCUAAGGAACCUGCCCACUACUGUUCAAAGCAGAAGCACUGCCAGUAUGGUCACAGACCACCAGAGGGAUCCUAAAGAACGUCAAAAGCUUCAACAAUUGUGUUUGGGAACCUUUUUUCAAAUGCAUCCCUUUGAAUCAAGUUUGCCUGCCCUGCACAUCAGUUUAGGGAUAUUUUACCGGCUCUUCCAAUUGAUGGAGUCAUGUGCUUGACAAUGCAGUCUCAUGGUUUGAAGAUAGUCGCGAGAGGGGUGGCCCUUCAUACUCAAACUUCAUGAGUACCUCUGUGAGUGACUCUGUGAGAGAGAGAGCCCUCAAGGAUGAGCUAGACAGGGUAAACGAAGAAGUGGCUCAACUCAAUGACCUGGUGGCCUUGCUCUGUGUGUUUGGUGAAGGUGAGGAGGUGAGGAGGAAGACGAUCCUCGACUCACAGCACUCCGCUCAGAAUUUGAGGAGAAAGCUUCGCACGCGUAAACUAAGACGAUGAGUUAUGUACAUAAUUAUGGAUUAGGAUGCUGAGUGGACUAUCAUUAACAAGAAAACAGCAAAAGGGUACAAGAGAGAGGACGGACCUUUUGUUAAGGCUCUAGAUGCAGACUUCAAUGUUCGGAGACAAACGUACUAUGGUGGCACGUUUGUGGGAAAUCACGUAAACCGGACCCUCCAGGUGAGGAACAUUGAGAAGCAGUUAUGAGCCGUCCAUAGUUACGAGUGCUGAGAAGAUCCAGCGGAAGUUUUGUGUCACCCUAAGCAAGUGUCACAAUAUAUAUAAUCAAAUAUGAUCACACAGGAGGAAAUUGCUUCCCUAGGUACUCACAUCUCCACCUUUAUGACAUUUUAUCGGGAGCAAUUUCCUCAAGCAACCGUCAUACCAAAGAUGCACAUGCUAGAGAAGCAUGUGGUUGAUUGGCUGGACCAGUGGCAGGUGGGAAUAGGACUCAUGGGAG
Molecule: long non-coding RNA, 1864 nt
Organism: Halichondria panicea
Lineage: Eukaryota; Metazoa; Porifera; Demospongiae; Suberitida; Halichondriidae
Exons: 9
Source: RefSeq, a predicted model, not a curated record